Molecule: long non-coding RNA, 1435 nt
Organism: Centruroides sculpturatus (bark scorpion)
Lineage: Eukaryota; Metazoa; Arthropoda; Arachnida; Scorpiones; Buthidae
Exons: 3
Source: RefSeq, a predicted model, not a curated record
UCCAUCCAUUAUAGUAAGGAUGGACUUUUACCAUCUUUUGUAUCAAUCUUGACAAUGAUGACUAAAGAUGACGAGCCUGAAUUCUGUUGAUGAACAUGAGGCAUUUGUCUGAGUCAAUUAUAUUUUUACUGAAUAACAUACUUAAUUUUACGAUAAUGUAGUUUGAAUGUUUAAGUACAUAAAAUUCUGUUAAAUAAUGUCUCAUCAAACUAAUACAACUCCCUGCCAAAAGUAUUAGACCACCCUUCAAAAAUAUUGAUUGUGUUUUAACAUUAGAAAGAAGCUUAAAUCAUUUGCACGUGAAACAAAAAUAUUAUACCACACUUGUGUAGGGCCACCUAUGGCUUUAAUUAAAGCUUCAAUUUAUUUUGGAAUUUGAUAUACAAGAUAUUGACUCACUUGGUGUAAUUUCAUUCUCAACAUAUGUUUAUAGCCAAUAUGGUUUUAUAGAUCUGCCAGAACAAUGUUGAUUUUUGAUACAUCCAGAUAACUUAAAUUUCUUUUUCUGAUGUUAAAUUUCUAUUGUGUGAUUUUUUUCUGUUAAAUGAAUAUUGAAUUUUAAAGGGAAAAAUACAGGAAACUUAUAAAAUGUAAUUAAAAUUGUUGUUGAUUUUGUAGUUUUGAUUGCAUAUAUUUUUUAAGUAAUCUAAUACUUGGCAGAGAGGGGGUUGUAGAUUUUACGUACUCUUAAGUUUUUUAUAACAAAAUCAGGAUCAGUAAAAAAUUCAAGUAGAUUUGCAUAUGGUAAUUUAAAAAUUUGAAUAUGCAUAUUUUCAAAACAAUCAAGUAAAUUAUUUUUAAAUUAAUUCAAAAAUUUCUUUUGUUCAGGAAUUUGGCCAGUGAAGAAUACAUUGAGUGUAAAUAUGUUAUGGGUUAUUCUGCAUCAUGUUUGAAGAUCAAAUGCUUGUAUUAUGGAAAAAUACAAGAUUCUACAUAUUUAUGGAAUACAUAAAAGGUGCAUAUUAAACAAUGGAUGACAUUUAAUUUUUAAAAUCUGGAUAUCAGAUACAAGAAGAACUAAUUAAUAAAACUGAAAAUAAUUAGUAAGUAAACAUUUUUGUGAACUAUUCUUAAUGUUUGCAUGAUAUUGAGAAAUAUCAAACUGCAGAAAAAAAUCUUUCAAAGGCUUAAUUAACUUCACGUAAUAAAGAAUAUAAUUAGUAUAAAAUUUUAUUUUUUUUUAAUUGUAAUUUAGUCUAUACAGUCCUUAAAAAUGAUCAUUAUGAUGACUAAAAGAUGACGAAUCUGAUAGCUGUGAUGUUUAUCGAGGCAUUUGUCUGAAAUAGUUUUUUGAAUAUAACUAUUUCGUUUGAAAUUAUAUAAUAUAUUAAUUAGUUUGGCUUUAAUUUCAGGUAUUAAAUGUGCUGAUUGUACAGGAUAAUUGAUUUUGUAAGUAGUAACAUUUAAUUCUACUAAAGUUUUGAAUUUUAGAAAU